Molecule: ribosomal RNA, 245 nt
Filed under: uncultured Gemmata sp.
Lineage: Bacteria; Pseudomonadati; Planctomycetota; Planctomycetia; Gemmatales; Gemmataceae
Description: partial 16S ribosomal RNA
Rfam family: Bacterial small subunit ribosomal RNA
Source: RNAcentral
GACGAACUGUGCAAACGUUGUUCGGAAUCACUGGGCUUAAAGGGCGCGUAGGCGGGCUGUCAAGUCAGGGGUGAAAUCUUUCGGCUCAACCGGAAAACUGCCUUUGAUACUGACAGCCUCGAGGGAGGUGGGGGCAUGUGGAACUUCCGGUGGAGCGGUGAAAUGCGUUGAUAUCGGAAGUAACGCCGGUGGCGAAAGCGACGUGCUGGAUCUCUUCUGACGCUGGGGCGCGAAAGCUAGGGGAG